UCGCUGACUAGUCUUCGACUUCUGCCCCAUCAGUGCUCCACAGCCUGAGCAGAUGAAGACCUGCCGGCUGAUGCUCGAUAACUCUCAUCCAGGACUGUCGAUAUUUUCUUGAUCGCUGAUCCCUGCAGGGUAGAUGUUGGAUUGUAGGUCUUUUACAUACAGAUUUCAAAAUAAUUUUGAAAAAUAAGCAGUGGAAGACUAGAUUAAAUCAAAUUUAAUCCUACGCAUGCAU
Molecule: long non-coding RNA, 232 nt
Filed under: Elaeis guineensis (African oil palm)
Lineage: Eukaryota; Viridiplantae; Streptophyta; Magnoliopsida; Arecales; Arecaceae
Description: long non-coding RNA (EGUI_LNC015422)
Source: RNAcentral